This 274-nucleotide ribosomal RNA is filed under the name uncultured bacterium. RNAcentral's name for it is "partial 16S ribosomal RNA". It matches the Rfam family "Bacterial small subunit ribosomal RNA", at positions 523 to 796 of the family's 1533-position model. The record is from RNAcentral.
AUACGGAGGGUGCAAGCGUUACUCGGAAUCACUGGGCGUAAAGCGCGCGCAGGCGGCUUGAUAAGUUGGAUGGGAAAGCCUACGGCUCAACCGUAGAACUGCAUCCAAAACUGUCAAGCUAGAGUCUGGGAGGGGAAGAUGGAAUCAGUUGUGUAGGGGUAAAAUCCGUAGAGAUAACUAGGAAUACCAAAAGCGAAGGCAAUCUUCUGGAACACUACUGACGCUGAGGCGCGAAAGCGUGGGGAGCAAACAGGAUUAGAAACCCUAGUAGUCC